RNAcentral lists this long non-coding RNA (247 nucleotides) under Olea europaea (common olive). Its description in RNAcentral is "long non-coding RNA (OEUR_LNC013532)". The record is from RNAcentral. Lineage: Eukaryota; Viridiplantae; Streptophyta; Magnoliopsida; Lamiales; Oleaceae.
CUCAAUCCAACCCUGAAUUUCUCUUUACAUCCUAAUACAGUCAAAUGUGAUAUAAUUUGUAAUGUAUUGUGCUAUUAUCAAUCACUUCUGUAUUAUGGCCCCGUUUGAUAGGGAUUUUGAUAAUUGAUUUUUUGACCGUUAGAAGAAAGGUGGGGUCCACAUGUGAGAGAAGAAGUCAAAAAUUACGACUUGAAUAGUAAAAUAACGGUCAAAAAAUUAAUUUUUUGGGACAAAAAAUCCCUACCAA